RNAcentral lists this transfer RNA (83 nucleotides) under Pseudonocardia autotrophica. RNAcentral describes it as "tRNA-Gly". Lineage: Bacteria; Bacillati; Actinomycetota; Actinomycetes; Pseudonocardiales; Pseudonocardiaceae. The record is from RNAcentral.
CGGUGCCGGUCGGGUGGCGGUGGUCGCCAGCCCGGUGCCGGCGGGUGUCGAGUGGUCGCCGGUUCGGUGCCGGUGGGCACCGG